UUACCGAGUGAGGGCCCUCUGGGUCCAACCUCCCACCCGUGUCUAUCGUACCUUGUUGCUUCGGCGGGCCCGCCGUUUCGACGGCCGCCGGGGAGGCCUUGCGCCCCCGGGCCCGCGCCCGCCGAAGACCCCAACAUGAACGCUGUUCUGAAAGUAUGCAGUCUGAGUUGAUUAUCGUAAUCAGUUAAAACUUUCAACAACGGAUCUCUUGGUUCCGGCAUCGAUGAAGAACGCAGCGAAAUGCGAUAAGUAAUGUGAAUUGCAGAAUUCAGUGAAUCAUCGAGUCUUUGAACGCACAUUGCGCCCCCUGGUAUUCCGGGGGGCAUGCCUGUCCGAGCGUCAUUGCUGCCCUCAAGCACGGCUUGUGUGUUGGGCCCCCGUCCCCCUCUCCCGGGGGACGGGCCCGAAAGGCAGCGGCGGCACCGCGUCCGGUCCUCGAGCGUAUGGGGCUUUGUCACCUGCUCUGUAGGCCCGGCCGGCGCCAGCCGACACCCAACUUUAUUUUUCUAAGGUUGACCUCGGAUCAGGUAGGGAUACCCGCUGAACUUAAGCAU
RNAcentral lists this ribosomal RNA (554 nucleotides) under Aspergillus sp. RNAcentral describes it as "eukaryotic LSU rRNA". The stretch from base 189 to 342 matches the Rfam family "5.8S ribosomal RNA". Lineage: Eukaryota; Fungi; Ascomycota; Eurotiomycetes; Eurotiales; Aspergillaceae. The record is from RNAcentral.